GCGGCGCAGGUGCAGGUGCAGGUGCAGGGACCUCGGGGCUCGGCCGCUUCCUGUGGCCCCGCGCAUCCCCCACCCCCCCCGCAGUGCGCAGGUGCGAAGGCGCCCGCGGGGGUCCACGGGCUGGGGGGGGGGGCUCCAGGCAGCGCCCUCGCCGCCGACCCGCAGGUGCCGGAGCGCAGCCGGGUCAGGCCCCAGGCGGGCCCUGCACCCCCCAGGAGGGCCCGGCUCAGCGGGCGGGGCUCCCCGAGAGGCCGCGGUUGCCUGCCGGGCUCCCGAGGGUCUUCCCCGCGGCGCAUCCCCUCCCGCGGCAGGAAUGGACAUGUGGUUUGUCUCCAGGCCCCUGAAUAGACAUCUAGCUUGUGGAAUCUUGACCUUGUAUAAUAUUAUCUGAAUGCCACGAAGCAUAAAUGACAAGAAUCUUUGCUGCAGCCACUUUCUCCAGACUUUCCAGCUAUUUAGUUCCUCUUUUGGUUUGCUGUUAAUCAUUAAUAAUAUCUUAGCUUUUGUUCCUUUUACGAGUUGACCAUUAGAAAAAAAUGCUUUUAUAGGUUGAUCGUUUUAUUUACAAUAUUGGGAAUUUUUCUUAUAGCUAUUGUUUUGGCUUAUUGUUUCUGUUGUCUCCCACCCGUCCAUCCCCCAAACUCCAGGCUAAGGACAAUGUCCUUUAACUAUCCAUGCUUU
This 681-nucleotide long non-coding RNA is filed under the name Canis lupus familiaris (dog). RNAcentral's name for it is "lncRNA (ENSCAFG00845018178.1)". Lineage: Eukaryota; Metazoa; Chordata; Mammalia; Carnivora; Canidae. The record is from RNAcentral.